Molecule: ribosomal RNA, 497 nt
Filed under: uncultured bacterium
Lineage: Bacteria
Description: partial 16S ribosomal RNA
Rfam family: Bacterial small subunit ribosomal RNA
Source: RNAcentral
GAUGAACGCUGGCGGCGUGCCUAAUACAUGCAAGUCGAGCGAACAGACGAGGAGCUUGCUCCUCUGACGUUAGCGGCGGACGGGUGAGUAACACGUGGAUAACCUACCUAUAAGACUGGGAUAACUUCGGGAAACCGGAGCUAAUACCGGAUAAUAUAUUGAACCGCAUGGUUCAAUAGUGAAAGACGGUUUUGCUGUCACUUAUAGAUGGAUCCGCGCCGCAUUAGCUAGUUGGUAAGGUAACGGCUUACCAAGGCAACGAUGCGUAGCCGACCUGAGAGGGUGAUCCGCCACACUGGAACUGAGACACGGUCCAGACUCCUACGGGAGGCAGCGGUAGGGAAUCUUCCGCAAUGGGCGAAAGCCUGACGGAGCAACGCCGCGUGAGUGAUGAAGGUCUUCGGAUCGUAAAACUCUGUUAUUAGGGAAGAACAAAUGUGUAAGUAACUAUGCACGUCUUGACGGUACCUAAUCAGAAAGCCACGGCUAACUACGUG